RNAcentral lists this ribosomal RNA (498 nucleotides) under uncultured bacterium. RNAcentral describes it as "partial 16S ribosomal RNA". It matches the Rfam family "Bacterial small subunit ribosomal RNA", at positions 28 to 507 of the family's 1533-position model. The record is from RNAcentral.
GACGAACGCUGGCGGCGUGCCUAAUACAUGCAAGUCGAACGAGAGCGACCGGUGCUUGCACUGGUCAAUCUAGUGGCGAACGGGUGAGUAACACGUGGGUAACCUGCCCAUCAGAGGGGGAUAACAUUCGGAAACGGAUGCUAAAACCGCAUAGGUCUUCGAACCGCAUGGUUCGAAGAGGAAAAGAGGCGCAAGCUUCUGCUGAUGGAUGGACCCGCGGUGCAUUAGCUAGUUGGUGAGGUAACGGCUCACCAAGGCCGUGAUGCAUAGCCGACCUGAGAGGGUGAUCGGCCACAUUGGGACUGAGACACGGCCCAAACUCCUACGGGAGGCAGCAGUAGGGAAUCUUCCGCAAUGGACGCAAGUCUGACGGAGCAACGCCGCGUGAGUGAAGAAGGUUUUCGGAUCGUAAAACUCUGUUGUUAGAGAAGAAUAAGUGCUAGAGUAACUGUUAGCGCCUUGACGGUAUCUAACCAGAAAGCCACGGCUAACUACGUG